Long non-coding RNA from Mustela erminea (ermine), 645 nucleotides. RefSeq lists it as uncharacterized. The transcript is spliced from 3 exons. NCBI's taxonomy places the organism in Eukaryota, Metazoa, Chordata, Mammalia, Carnivora, Mustelidae. The record is from RefSeq and is a predicted model, not a curated record.
GUGAGGGGUUACAAGCAGACUUUGAAAAUGAUCAGACAUGGCAAAACGAAGCUGGUCAUCCUCGCCAACAACUGCCCAGCCUUGAGGAAAUCUGAAAUAGAAUACUACGCCAUGUUGGCCAAAACUGGUGUCCAUCACUACAGUGGCAAUAACAUUGAAUGGGGUACAGCAUGUGGGAGGUACUACAGAGUAUCAUUGAUCCAGGUGAUUCUGAUACCAUUAGAAGCAUGCCAGAACAGACUGGUGAAAAGUAUAUCACGCAGAAUUUUUCCUUAAUAAAACUGGCCACAGCUUGUUUUAAAAACAAAAAACAAACAAAAACAAACAAACAAACAAGAACUCAUGGGAUGGGGAUGGACAGCUCUCCCCCAGGUCCCAAGCUGGGAUUCAGGGGAGCCCCCUUGCUAUCCCUCCAGUAGCAGACCCACAUUCCAGCUGCAGCCACAGCCCCACAGUGAUACCUUGCAGGCUCCAAGUGUGGGGUGUGGGCAAAGAGGAUUCACCUCCUCGGCGGUCCCUGUAGCAGCCAGCCCAGGGACACCCCAAGGUCCCCAGGGCUGGGGAGCUGUGGAGCUCCAGAUAGGGAAGGUAGGGGCUGGCAGUCACAGUGCCCUCUCUACUUGCACCAGCAGCCCACCCACUCUA